This 201-nucleotide ribosomal RNA is filed under the name uncultured prokaryote. Its description in RNAcentral is "partial 16S ribosomal RNA". It matches the Rfam family "Bacterial small subunit ribosomal RNA", at positions 524 to 724 of the family's 1533-position model. The record is from RNAcentral.
UACGGGGGGGGCGAGCGUUGUCCGAAGUUACUGGGCGUAAAGGGCGCGUAGGCGGGGUGUCACGUCCGCUGUGAAAGCCUGGAGCUUAACUCCAGCGGGUCGGUGGAUACGGACACUCUUGAAGGCGUUAGGGGAAGAUGGAAUUACCCGUGGAGCGGUGAAAUGCGUAGAGAUGGGUAGGAACACCGGUGGCGAAGGCGG